Mytilus californianus (California mussel) is the source of this 667-nucleotide long non-coding RNA. RefSeq lists it as uncharacterized. The record is from RefSeq and is a predicted model, not a curated record. NCBI's taxonomy places the organism in Eukaryota, Metazoa, Mollusca, Bivalvia, Mytilida, Mytilidae. The transcript has 7 exons.
GGUAAAGACUAGUGAUCUAGUAUUUGGGGUCACAGAGGAUGUGGCUGUAGUCCUACCAAACAAAGCUUUACUGGAACAUAGUUUUUAUCAGACUCACAUAAAAAAGCAACUGCUUGAACCCAUAUCAAUGCAGCCUACGAAGAAAAUGUGUGUGAUGAAGAAAGAAGAAAAGAGCACCUUUAAUUGUCCUGUUUGUCCAGUGAUGUGCUUAAAAGAAGACUUUUUGAUAGAUCAUGUUAUUUUGGCCAUACUAAAAAAAUAAAAAAAGGCAGAAUUCAGACAGACAGAGAUUCGUCAUUUCAGAUACCAAAUAAAGAAAAUGCUGUUGAGGAACAGGGGAGUUUCUGUGAUGAGAAUGAUACACAAAGAGCAUUUGAGUGUAAUGAAGUUGAGAGUAGUAUUUUAACCAAAAGAACAUCUGCCUUAACAACAGUGAAGGUUUUAGCGAGCAGGUGUUAAUUGGUGAUGUUGAAAGAAAUCCAGGACCUACAAUGGUUUAUCAAGACUAAUCUUAGUGCUUGCCAUACAAGUGUCAAAGAGUGAAGGGCAAGAACAAUUUUAAAGAACAGAGAAGACUUGUUUUAUUGCACUUAGUUUUGAGUUUUUGUUUUAUAUUUUACCACUAUGAUAGAGUAAUGUAACAUUCAGGAAAUGUAUUGUUCUGAUA